Molecule: ribosomal RNA, 563 nt
Filed under: uncultured bacterium
Lineage: Bacteria
Description: bacterial SSU rRNA
Rfam family: Bacterial small subunit ribosomal RNA
Source: RNAcentral
CCUACGGGAGGCAGCAGUGGGGAAUCUUGCGCAAUGGGCGAAAGCCUGACGCAGCAACGCCGCGUGCGGGAAGAAGGCUCUCGGGUUGUAAACCGCUUUCAGCAGGAACGAAAAUGACGGUACUUGCAGAAGAAGGUGCGGCCAACUACGUGCCAGCAGCCGCGGUGACACGUAGGCACCAAGCGUUGUCCGGAUUUAUUGGGCGUAAAGAGCUCGUAGGCGGUUCGGUAAGUCAGGUGUGAAAACUUUGGGCUCAACCCAAAGCCUGCAUCUGAUACUGCUGUGACUAGAGUUCGGUAGGGGAGCGGGGAAUUCCUAGUGUAGCGGUGAAAUGCGCAGAUAUUAGGAGGAACACCGGUGGCGAAGGCGCCGCUCUGGGCCGAAACUGACGCUGAGGAGCGAAAGCGUGGGUAGCAAACAGGAUUAGAUACCCUGGUAGUCCACGCCGUAAACGUUGGGCACUAGGUGUGGGUCUCAACCAACGAGAUCCGCGCCGUCGCUAACGCAUAAGUGCCCGCCUGGGGAGUACGGCCGCAAGGUUAAAACUCAAAUGAAUUGAACGG